GAUGAACGCUGGCGGCGUGCCUAAUACGUGCAAGUCGAGCGAGCGGACGAGAAGCUUGCUUCUCUGAUGUUAGCGGCGGACGGGUGAGUAACACGUGGAUAACCUACCUAUAAGACUGGGAUAACUUCGGGAAACCGGAGCUAAUACCGGAUAAUAUUUUGAACCGCAUGGUUCAAAAGUGAAAGACGGUCUUGCUGUCACUUAUAGAUGGAUCCGCGCUGCAUUAGCUAGUUGGUAAGGUAACGGCUUACCAAGGCAACGAUGCAUAGCCGACCUGAGAGGGUGAUCGGCCACACUGGAACUGAGACACGGUCCAGACUCCUACGGGAGGCAGCAGUAGGGAAUCUUCCGCAAUGGGCGAAAGCCUGACGGAGCAACGCCGCGUGAGUGAUGAAGGUCUUCGGAUCGUAAAACUCUGUUAUUAGGGAAGAACAUAUGUGUAAGUAACUGUGCACAUCUUGACGGUACCUAAUCAGAAAGCCACGGCUAACUACGUG
This 497-nucleotide ribosomal RNA is filed under the name uncultured bacterium. RNAcentral describes it as "partial 16S ribosomal RNA". It matches the Rfam family "Bacterial small subunit ribosomal RNA", at positions 28 to 507 of the family's 1533-position model. The record is from RNAcentral.